This 253-nucleotide ribosomal RNA is filed under the name uncultured bacterium. RNAcentral's name for it is "partial 16S ribosomal RNA". It matches the Rfam family "Bacterial small subunit ribosomal RNA", at positions 524 to 776 of the family's 1533-position model. The record is from RNAcentral.
UACGGAGGGUGCAAGCGUUAUCCGGAUUCACUGGGUUUAAAGGGUGCGUAGGCGGGUUGGUAAGUCCGUGGUGAAAUCCCCAAGCUUAACUUGGGAGCUGCCGUGGAUACUAUCAAUCUUGAAUAUCGUGGAGGUAAGCGGAAUAUGUCAUGUAGCGGUGAAAUGCUUAGAUAUGACAUAGAACACCAAUUGCGUAGGCAGCUUACUACACGAUCAUUGACGCUGAGGCACGAAAGCGUGGGGAGCAAACAGG